GAUCACUGCUAUUGGGAUUCGACUAAGCCAUGCGAGUCGAGAGGGUUCGGCCCUCGGCGAACUGCUCAGUAACACGUGGAUAAUUUGCCCUUAGGUGGAGGAUAACCUCGGGAAACUGAGAAUAAUACUCCAUAGAUCUUAGAGGCUGGAAUGCACUAAGAUUGAAAACUCCGGUGCCUAAGGAUAAGUCUGCGGACUAUCAGGUUGUAGUCAGGGUAAAGGCCUGACUAGCCUACGACGGAUACGGGUUGUGAGAGCAAUAACCCGGAGACGAUAUCUGAGACACGAUAUCGGGCCCUACGGGGCGCAGCAGGCGCGAAAACUUCACAAUGUGCGAAAGCGCGAUGAGGGAAUCCCAAGUGCUUGCUCGUAAGAGUAAGCUGUUUUUAUGUCUAAAAAGCAUGAAGAGUAAGGGCUGGGUAAGACGGGUGCCAGCCGCCGCGGUAAUACCUGCAGCCCAAGUGGUGAUCACUAUAUUGGGCCUAAAACGUUCGUAGCCGGUUUGGUAAAUGCCUGGGUAAAUCGUGUAGCUUAACUAUACGAAUUCCGGGUAGACUGCUAAACUUGAGACCGGGAGAGGCUAGAGGUACUUCUGGGGUAGAGGUGAAAUUCUGUAAUCCUAGGGGGACCACCAGUGGCGAAGGCGUCUAGCUAGAACGGGUCUGUCGGUGAGGGACGAAGCCCUGGGGCGCAAACCGGAUUAGAUACCCGGGUAGUCCAGGGUGUAAACGCUGCUUGCUUGAUGUUAGUCGGGCUCUGAGCCCGAUUAGUGUCGGAGAGAAGUUGUUAAGCAAGCUGCCUGGGAAGUACGGUCGCAAGGCUGAAACUUAAGGGAAUUGGCGGGGGAGCACAGCAACGGGUGGAGCGUGCGGUUUA
Molecule: ribosomal RNA, 876 nt
Filed under: uncultured euryarchaeote
Lineage: Archaea; Methanobacteriati; Methanobacteriota
Description: bacterial SSU rRNA
Rfam family: Archaeal small subunit ribosomal RNA
Source: RNAcentral